Daphnia pulex (common water flea) is the source of this 2834-nucleotide long non-coding RNA. RefSeq lists it as uncharacterized. NCBI's taxonomy places the organism in Eukaryota, Metazoa, Arthropoda, Branchiopoda, Diplostraca, Daphniidae. The record is from RefSeq and is a predicted model, not a curated record. The transcript is spliced from 11 exons.
UCAUGCCUGCUUUCUACAGUCUGGUAUUUGGUAAUAGGAAUUAGGACAACACGCUCAUUAACGACAUUCGCAUUUCGCAGUUCGGAUUUUGGAAGGUCGUCUGCACUCUGCAGGACUGCAAAAGCUGUUUUUGUAAGGUUUAGGUGUCAACAGUCACACUCACAGCAACACAAACAGCAUUGACGGUAAAAAUCAUCCUACCACUAGGCUCCAAUGAAACAAAUCUAAGCUUUCAAGUGCAGUGUGACUGCCAAAGUUACCUCUGCCCAUGGAGACGCCAGCAAUGUAGAACAAAUACUUAAAGCUAUACCAACACUCAUCUAUAUGUGGACUGCCAUCAGGACGUUUGCCUGAAACAAGAAGAAUUCCAAUCUCCAGUCUACAUGGUGAUUGGCGUGGAUUACAGUUCCACUAUCAGCAACAACAACAAAAUCUGUUGAAGAAAAGACACUGAGAAGAACGUCAAUACUCGUGUGGAAUCGUCGAUACAGGCAACCCAGUUUUGCUUAAGUGUUUAAGAUUCAACGGAAAAAAAUCGGGAUAUUCGUUCAACAUCUUCUACAGACAUCCCUUACAAUGUGAAUAACAAUAUUAUUGACGAAAUUCCUUAUUUCUCAUUUCAGACUCUGUAAUCUUUGAUUACGACCGUCUUGGAAGCGAAUGCUGGUUCAUUGCAAAACGCUUAUUUGGCAAUUUGUUAUUUGUGAUGGCGGUUUUUUUGGGGAAAACUAUGCUGUAGCUAUUUUCAACAAAGAAAUCACAGACUUGGUCAUAUGCUAUUUUGAUUUUAAUUGGAAUUGCCGCCGCCAGCCGAGCCGAGUUGGAUGGAAUUCGGAGCUGCUAAUACCCUUACCGGUCUCCAAUCCGGUGCUCAUUCGCAUACUCAUCUACAACCGUCAUCGAGAUGUCGGGGCCAUUCCCUUAGAAUCGGAAUCGUGCCGCCUUCUCAUUCGUUUCUUGGAAGUAUCGGUCACACUUUCUCGAAGAAAAGAAAACACAAUAUUUCGUCCACCCAUGUUGCUGGAUGAUGCGGCCAGCAGAAGCCCAGCAAAACCCAAACCUUUACUGGGCAGUUCGGGAUCGGAUCUGGCUUUGUCACAACCUUCACUGGCAGUUGAUUUCUCCAACACACCCAGCACUAGCCCCUCACAGCACGACACACUCGUUUCUAUUGCCCAGGACGGAACUCUUUCGUUGGUCGGUACACUCGUCUCGGAGCACGCUUCAGUCGAUAUUGACAUGGGCUUAAACCAGGAAAAUAUUGCGCAAAGUUUAUCAGCUUCUAGAGAUGUUGAUGCAGAUACGGCCGUACUACCGAAGAGUCUAGGUUCAACCUUAGCUCGAGCCGCCGACACGUUGCGCAUGGCUCUUUUGGUUUAUGUGUGUCUCCAAAAGCAAUGUGACUAUAGUAGCCCAGUUGAACAACAACAAGUUGGUCCAUGCUUCUGUUAACAAUCUGAGUUUAGACGGCAGCAUUUUACCACGCUCACAGAUUGCACUCUAAGGUCUGAUAGAUGUGUUUUCAUGUCAAAUUCUUCAGACCGUAGCUUCUACUGAAAGAGAUGGAAAGGUCAACCAGCAAUCACAAUUUGUCGAAUCACGAACGAAAACUUGGCAGCCGUGUUUAGCAGAGUUUUCAGUUGGAGUUCAAACAGAAAUUCACGUUGACCCAGUUUUACCGGCCAUCACGAAUUUGUUUAAAUGUCUUUGUAGAUGAUUCACGAGCAAUGGUCAGCGGACAUCCAAGAACUAGUUUCGAGUUGAAUUUGCCACGCUGCGCAUUACUUUUUGACGGACAUUCCAUCAUUGAAGCUGAAGGAUUAAAUAUUAGCUAGCUGAUAACGAUCUUGAUCUUAAACAGGAAAGAAUCAGUUUCGAUUGCGAGGCUGCCACAAACAAAUGUGGACUAGUCAUCAGCAUUGCGCGUUUGCUUCCCCUACCGUUACCAGUUUUCCGAAGCCUGCCAACAGGAGAUGGUGAGCGUCUUCAAGUGGCUAAAAUCGCUGCACAAAAAGCCUCGGCUUCCUGGACAAAUAGAGCCACUUUAUCGUGACGUUCGUCUGUCAGUUGCACUAUUUUCUAUGGUGCUUUGUGACGACCCAUUUGAAGUCAAGCUCCGUGAUAACUACGAAUUGCGCGAAGAUGAAUUUCAUGAGAGUCUCAAACGUAAGCGUACGUUGGACGCUAAAAUUGAAGAACUCCGAAGAACGCACCCACCUCUGACGCAAGGUUAAAUGAGGCCAUGAAAGUAGCCCCACCUGGUAGGGAUGUGCGAAAGGUUUUGCUGAAAGCCAUCGAAGAGACCGAAAGUGCCCAUCAACGGCUCCCUGGAACUUCCACCCUGGCCUUAAUGGAAACAUCUUCUGACACCAUCCAAGACUGCUGCAGCAGCGGAGUUGGUUCCAGUUCGACCUCCACUUCCGAACGAGGUUAACCCCCUUUGCUGGGCACCACUGUUCGUUUGACCGUGCCUCUAGUGAAAUAAUUGUUAAGAUAUUUAGUUGAAUGUAAUUUUCGUCUUAUAACUUACCGUAAAUCUUGUAAUUGGCGUGCUUCGUUCUUCGAGAUAAUUUGUUUUCUUCAUCUGCUUUGGCGUCGGAUCAAAUUCUCAGUAGACGUCUUAUAACUGAAAUUCUAUCAAUUUUAGAACCAGCUCUUGAUGAUUAUUAACUUAUUGGCGAUUCAAUCAAAUAAUGAAAUUUUUAAAAGGUAUCUUCUAUUAUAAAAGCGUGACGGUUUAUAGAAACAAAAUGUUUUCACUAAGUGACAUGUAAAAGAAAUCAAUGAAAUUAUAGAACUGAGUCGCAUGGACUCGGGUGUAGUUAUUCUCAGCA